CGCCGCUCUGAGCAGUGGCUCUGCGGCUCGGCUGCAGUAAUUAGGCUGAUGUAAUUAUAGCAAAACAAAGCAAGUUUAGGCUGAUGGUGGGUUUUUUUCCCCAUACAGUGGGAACAUUUAAGACAUAUGCAUAUUCCAGCGUACAAAAAAUGAACCUGCACCGCUGUCGGAGGCUAGGAGGACAGUGUGGCCAGUGCACCUAUUGUGUCACUGCUGUAGAAAGCAGCUUAGCGAUUGGCCACUGUCUGCAGCACAUAAUACUGACUGGUUAUAAAGGACUUGUCUAGAGGAAAGCCUGUAGGUACUCCAUUGUCUGGCAAAGUUGAUAUGACUGCAUUCUUUUUGCAGGGGGUCAGACAGCUGAACUGUAAAAGCUGCACAGAUUUUUUUUUUUUUUUUUUUGUCUUCUUCCUCUGUCUCUCUGUCUCUGUCUCUUCCAUACAGCAUUUUUCUUUCAUGCCCUGUCUCAGUUUGCAUAGUUAAAGAGAAUGCUAAUUAAGAUCCCUUGCCUUAACCUGAAAAUAGUGACUUGGAUGUAAAUAGAAAAUUGGCGAUAGUUUAAAAUAUUCUUGCGUAGCACCAAGAUAUCAGUUACCGUCCUAGGGGAAAAAAGGAAGAAUUAUUUUUUUUUGUAAUCAAGACGGAUCUAACAACGCAGUCUGGGCUCCGUGCCAAAGGCUGGUAUUUCACAGCAGCGACCGCCUUACAGAUGAGCUGUGGGAAGCAGGAGGGAGACUCUCUUAGGGUGCCACUACUAUGGAGACACAGCUGGGCUGAACAAGAUUUGCUUCAAACGACAACAAGAGAGACAGAAAGAGUCUGGUUCGACCGCUGCCCAAGCAGGCAGUAACCAGAAGAGCUAGCAGCCAAUCCGGCCAUGCUGCACUGUUCGAAACCAGCUCUACAUCCCAGCCAAUCAGUGACAUCACUGGACUGGAAAGAAACAUUUUCCACAGAUGCCAGCUUCUGUCUGCUGUGAUGCUCCACUCUGAGUGAUGCCAUGUUCACCACUGAGCAGUACUGGCAAAGGAGAGCAGCUUCUCAGAAUGAGUCUGCAGUCGCACGGCUGGUGGUGUGGCACAGACGGAGCAAGGGUUACAUCAAGGCUGUUCUCUGGACCGUGCAAACAGUCUAGACCAAUGACCUGCAGCAUCGUGCCCUUUGAAGAAGAGGCAAGUUCAGUCACGACGAAGAAAAAUCAAGGCGUACCCCUUUUAACAAUAGGGAGCAGCUCGUGGCUGCAAAGAGGUGUGCAGCUGCCAUUCCAGGUGUGCAGCUGCCAUUCCACCUCACAGCAGGGCUGUGUUUGCUGCUCCACAAGCUGCAGAAAAGGCAGAGAGAGAAAGGAACACAGAAAGACACCAAAGCUGAGAUCUUCAAAGUACCCAAACUCCAUCAGGAAAGUUUUUGGUACCUUGCUGGUCUGUGGAUCUGUGGAGUGA
This 1442-nucleotide long non-coding RNA is filed under the name Zonotrichia albicollis (white-throated sparrow). RNAcentral's name for it is "lncRNA (ENSZALG00000011210.1)". Lineage: Eukaryota; Metazoa; Chordata; Aves; Passeriformes; Passerellidae. The record is from RNAcentral.